RNAcentral lists this ribosomal RNA (459 nucleotides) under uncultured bacterium. RNAcentral's name for it is "partial 16S ribosomal RNA". It matches the Rfam family "Bacterial small subunit ribosomal RNA", at positions 338 to 795 of the family's 1533-position model. The record is from RNAcentral.
CCUACGGGUGGCAGCAGUGAGGAAUAUUGGUCAAUGGGCGCGAGCCUGACCCAGCCACGUCGCGUGAAGGAUGACUGCCCUACGGGUUGUAACCUUCUUUUAUAAAGGCGUAACGUGAGGCACGUGUGCCUUUUUAUAUCUACUUUAUGAAUAAGGAUCGGCUAACUCGAUGCCAGCAGCCGCGGUAAUACGGAGGAUCCGCGCGUUUCCGGAUUUAUUGGGUGUAAAGGGAGCGUAGAUGGGUUGGUAAGUCAGUUGUGAAAGUUUGCGGCUCAACCGUAAAAUUGCAAUUGAUACUGGCAGCCUUGAGUACAGUUGAGGCAGGCGGAAUUCGUGGUGUAGCGGUGAAAUGCUUAGAUAUCACGAAGAACUCCGAUGGCGAAGGCAGCUUACUAAACUGCCACUGACAUUGAGGCGCGAAAGUGUGGGUAUCAAACAGGAUUAGAUACCCGAGUAGUC